Molecule: ribosomal RNA, 230 nt
Filed under: uncultured bacterium
Lineage: Bacteria
Description: partial 16S ribosomal RNA
Rfam family: Bacterial small subunit ribosomal RNA
Source: RNAcentral
UCCGUAGGUGGAUAAUUAAGUCAGAGGUGAAAUCCUGCAGCUCAACUGUAGAAUUGCCUUUGAUACUGGUUAUCUUGAGUCAUUAUGAAGUGGUUAGAAUGUGUGGUGUAGCGGUGAAAUGCAUAGAUAUUACACAGAAUACCGAUUGCGAAGGCAGAUCACUAAUAAUGUACUGACACUGAUGGACGAAAGCGUGGGGAGCGAACAGGAUUAGAUACCCCUGGUAGUCC